GACGAACGCUGGCGGCGUGCCUAAUACAUGCAAGUUGAGCGCUGAAGGUUGGUACUUGUACCAAUUGGAUGAGCAGCGAACGGGUGAGUAACGCGUGGGGAAUCUGCCUUUGAGCGGGGGACAACAUUUGGAAACGAAUGCUAAUACCGCAUAACAACUUUAAACACAAGUUUUAAGUUUGAAAGAUGCAAUUGCAUCACUCAAAGAUGAUCCCGCGUUGUAUUAGCUAGUUGGUGAGGUAAAGGCUCACCAAGGCGAUGAUACAUAGCCGACCUGAGAGGGUGAUCGGCCACAUUGGGACUGAGACACGGCCCAAACUCCUACGGGAGGCAGCAGUAGGGAAUCUUCGGCAAUGGACGAAAGUCUGGCCGAGCAACGCCGCGUGAGUGAAGAAGGUUUUCGGAUCGUAAAACUCUGUUGGUAGAGAAGAACGUUGGUGAGAGUGGAAAGCUCAUCAAGUGACGGUAACUACCCAGAAAGGGACGGCUAACUACGUG
This 497-nucleotide ribosomal RNA is filed under the name uncultured bacterium. RNAcentral's name for it is "partial 16S ribosomal RNA". It matches the Rfam family "Bacterial small subunit ribosomal RNA", at positions 28 to 507 of the family's 1533-position model. The record is from RNAcentral.